Molecule: ribosomal RNA, 442 nt
Filed under: Granulicatella adiacens
Lineage: Bacteria; Bacillati; Bacillota; Bacilli; Lactobacillales; Carnobacteriaceae
Description: bacterial SSU rRNA
Rfam family: Bacterial small subunit ribosomal RNA
Source: RNAcentral
CUAAUACAUGCAAGUCGAACGAGAGCGACCGGUGCUUGCACUGGUCAAUCUAGUGGCGAACGGGUGAGUAACACGUGGGUAACCUGCCCAUCAGAGGGGGAUAACAUCCGGAAACGGAUGCUAAAACCGCAUAGGUCUUCGAGCCGCAUGGCUUGAAGAGGAAAAGAGGCGCAAGCUUCUGCUGAUGGAUGGACCCGCGGUGCAUUAGCUAGUUGGUGAGGUAACGGCUCACCAAGGCCGUGAUGCAUAGCCGACCUGAGAGGGUGAUCGGCCACAUUGGGACUGAGACACGGCCCAAACUCCUACGGGAGGCAGCAGUAGGGAAUCUUCCGCAAUGGACGCAAGUCUGACGGAGCAACGCCGCGUGAGUGAAGAAGGUUUUCGGAUCGUAAAACUCUGUUGUUAGAGAAGAACAAGUGCUAGAGUAACUGUUAGCGCCUUG